UACAGCGAGUUAAAAGCUCGUAGUUGAUUUCUGAUCGGAAAAAAUUGAUUUCAAUGAAGUUGAUUUUAUUCUAGGUCAUCCUCUCGGGAAAAUAAUUUCUUCUUAACUGAAGAGUUGUCGGAUCGAGAUAUUUACUUUGAAAAAAUUAGAGUGUUUCAGGCAGGCUUACGCCCGAAUAUUACAGCUGAGAAUAAUGGAAUAGGACUGAGUUCGUUUUGUUGGUUUUUUAAGAACUUAGUAAUGAUUAAAAGGGACAGUUGGGGGCAUUAGUAUUUAAUUGUCAGAGGUGAAAUUCUUGGAUUUAUUAAAGACUAACUAAUGCGAAAGCAUUUA
RNAcentral lists this ribosomal RNA (333 nucleotides) under uncultured eukaryote. Its description in RNAcentral is "partial 18S ribosomal RNA". It matches the Rfam family "Eukaryotic small subunit ribosomal RNA", at positions 615 to 957 of the family's 1831-position model. The record is from RNAcentral.